This 468-nucleotide ribosomal RNA is filed under the name uncultured bacterium. RNAcentral describes it as "partial 16S ribosomal RNA". It matches the Rfam family "Bacterial small subunit ribosomal RNA", at positions 28 to 507 of the family's 1533-position model. The record is from RNAcentral.
GACGAACGCUGGCGGCGUGCUUAACACAUGCCAGUCGAACGGAAAGGCCCUGCUUUUGUGGGGUGCUCGAGUGGCGAACGGGUGAGUAACACGUGAGUAACCUGCCCUUGACUUUGGGAUAACUUCAGGAAACUGGGGCUAAUACCGGAUAGGAGCUCCUGCUGCAUGGUGGGGGUUGGAAAGUUUCGGCGGUUGGGGAUGGACUCGCGGCUUAUCAGCUUGUUGGUGGGGUAGUGGCUUACCAAGGCUUUGACGGGUAGCCGGCCUGAGAGGGUGACCGGCGACAUUGGGACUGCGGUACGCCCCAGAAGCCUACGGGAGGCAGCAGUGGGGAAUAUUGCAGAAUGGGCGGAAGCCUGAUGCAGCAACGCCGCGUGCGGGAUGACGGCCUUCGGGUUGUAAACCGCUUUCGCCUGUGACGAAGCGUGAGUGACGGUAAUGGGUAAAGAAGCACCGGCUAACUACGUG